RNAcentral lists this small RNA (90 nucleotides) under uncultured Superficieibacter sp. Its description in RNAcentral is "Enterobacteria rnk leader". Lineage: Bacteria; Pseudomonadati; Pseudomonadota; Gammaproteobacteria; Enterobacterales; Enterobacteriaceae. The record is from RNAcentral.
CUGUGCGCCAGGUCACUUCAAAGUCAGGCCAACUCUCAGUAUGAUGGGCAUAGCUAACCCUCACCUCUGACGGUGGGGGUUUUCUUUUGG